GCUCAGGAUGAACGCUAGCGGCAGGCCUAACACAUGCAAGUCGAGGGGUAACAGGGAGUGCUUGCACUUUGCUGACGACCGGCGCACGGGUGCGUAACGCGUAUACAAUCUGCCCUAUACUGGGGGAUAGCCUUUGGAAACGAAGAUUAAUACCCCAUAGUAUGUAUUAUUCGCAUGUUUAAUACAUUAAAGGUUACGGUAUAGGAUGAGUAUGCGUCCCAUUAGCUAGUAGGUAAGGUAACGGCUUACCUAGGCAACGAUGGGUAGGGGCCCUGAGAGGGGGAUCCCCCACACUGGUACUGAGACACGGACCAGACUCCUACGGGAGGCAGCAGUGAGGAAUAUUGGACAAUGGGCGCGAGCCUGAUCCAGCCAUGCCGCGUGCAGGAAGACUGCCCUAUGGGUUGUAAACUGCUUUUUUACGGGAAGAAACCGCUCCACGUGUGGAGCUCUGACGGUACCGUAGGAAUAAGCAUCGGCUAACUCCGUGCCAGCAGCCGCGGUAAUACGGAGGAUGCAAGCGUUAUCCGGAAUCAUUGGGUUUAAAGGGUCCGCAGGCGGGCGAUUAAGUCAGAGGUGAAAUUUUGCAGCUCAACUGUAACACUGCCUUUGAUACUGGUCGUCUUGAAUGGCUCUGAAGUGGUUGGAAUGAGCGGUGUAGCGGUGAAAUGCAUAGAUAUCGCUCAGAACACCUAUUGCGAAGGCAGGUCACUAAGGGUGUAUUGACGCUGAGGGACAAAAGCGUGGGGAGCGAACGGGAUUAUAUACCCCGGUAGUCCACGCCGUAACGAUGGAUACUAGCUGUUGGAUUUUCGAAUUCCAUGGCCAGCGAAAGUGAUAAGUAUCCCAUCUUGGGAGUACGUUCCACAUUAAACUCAAU
This 880-nucleotide ribosomal RNA is filed under the name uncultured marine bacterium. Its description in RNAcentral is "bacterial SSU rRNA". It matches the Rfam family "Bacterial small subunit ribosomal RNA", at positions 22 to 905 of the family's 1533-position model. The record is from RNAcentral.